CUUAAGAAAGAGAAGUUUUAUUAGGGCAAUUUCACUUUAUUUUUCCAUACAGCAAAGUCAACUACUGCAGUAAUAAUAAAAUAAGCAUAAAGUAAAUUGCAGCCCAAGACAAAUACAUAAUUUUAAGCAACUACAAGCAGAAAGUAAGUUGUGAUUACAUAAUAGUAAAACCAAGCACGUCUGUCCUUUCAGCAGGUGAAAGCUGUGGGGUUGCUGAUAAGUGCAACACUGUAACCAGCUGGGGGGAAGGCCGGCUACACUAAUUCAUUCAACAAGUGCCUAUUACAUAUUUGCUGUUUUGAGUGCUUCUGAGUUGAAAAUUAAAACCGUGAAAUUUGAACUGUGUUUUAUUUUUUCACCUGCUGAAAGAACAGGAUCCUACAGCAAUUUAAAAAACAAUCACAUAACAACUAUAGCUACGGUGUGCUGUUUGGUUUGCCUGUUCAUGGUUUAAAUUUUGUGAAAGUCAAUACUUGAUUUGAAGAUUUGUGUGUGUGUGAACAACAGACCACUGAAAUUGGCAGAAACUGAUCUGAAUAGUACAUGUCCUUAGUAUAGUUCUUUCUCUCUUUUUUUGUUGUUGAAGUUUUAAACAUGCAGUAGUUUUGAAAAAAUGUAAGGAAUAUUUGAUCCAUGAUUUCACCUUAAUGGUUGAAGUACCUGCUAUUUUUGGUAAUGAUCUUCAGGCAGAUUUGGCCCAGUGGAGUUUUUGUCAGUCAUGAAAUCUUGGAAGGAUGGCAUAUCUUUCCAGCUGAAAAAAUCCUGGCAAACUACAAGCUGUCCACAAAAAGCAAAGCAACAUGUUUGAAGGGGUUUGGAGUGCUAACUCUGUGCCACUUUUGUAAGCAAUUUUGCUCAGUCUGUCAUUUUAUUAGCCUUAACAAAACUCCUUGUAAUUAUAGACGUUUUUAUUCAAAAUAAGAUCUUACUAUUAUACAGGUUUCUCUCUUUUGACUAUAUACAGAAGUGCAAAAAGUCAACCUUCUCUCUCGACGUUCCAACAUGGUAAAUUGCAGCAUAAUCAACCCUCAAGAGUUUGCACACACGCUAGAAUUCUCAUUACGUAAACCUCGAGUAUUUGGAUUAUCAACAAAAAGUCCCUUGUUCUAUUUAUUGAUUAUGCAGCUUAUUUAUAACAAGGCCUGAUAUUCAGGGAUUUCAAAAAUAUUAAACAAUACUUUAACAUUUGAAAUGGAUACAGUAGAAAAUAAAUUUUAUUCUAAUAUCUAGGAUCUAGAUCUUCUUAUAAUAACUAAUUACAAACAAAAUAAAUCAUCAAAAUAUUACUCAAUUGUCUGCCAGGAUUGUUGCCAUAGCAACAACUUAACUUCUUACUUAGCAAUGAUUAUAUAUUUAUAAGAUAUCCAUAUAAAAGAUCUUUGUUCUUUUAAUGAAAACUAGACAAGAACUAACAAUGACUGACAUUCUUACACUUUAAUAUUAAAUCAGUAAAAUAUAAAUCAUUUAGUUAACAAUAAUACGAAUAUUCAUAUGACACUACAUGUAAUUCAAAACUGAGUAUGUUAUGAAGGAAAGACUACUUUAAUUUUUUUUGUAUUUUGAAAAAUUCAUCGGUAAAAUCUAAUAAAACAAGAGUCUAUAAACUGAAAUGGUAUUCAAUUGUUAAUAGAAAAUGAAAUCUAAUAAAUGUAGGAAAUGAAAAACUACAUUUUAACAAGAAAAAUAAGUAAUAUUCUACAAUGUAACUAACUACAAUAACAUGUGAAGUCACCAUUACUCUCUUAAACACGAUUGAAAUUACAUUGGUAUGGGUUCCAACCCGUAAUGUAAUAAUCUAAGGCUUUAAUAGAUGUACAGUACAAUCGGUGAGAUCAACACAUCAGUCUUAUAUUAGAAAGCGUCUCUCUCAAGCAUAAAAACUUGCGGUAAACUUGGGAGUAUGGUAGGUUCUAUAACCGAACCCUCGCUUCUCCCAUUCCACACGGUAACUACCAGUGACCCGGCCCCGGCUUCAGCAGUGUUCACAACCGCCGAGCAGAGCGAAAUUACCCUUCACUAGCUGCAACAUCCAAACCACAGAAAGGGAAUUCCUUUGGAUGAAUCCAUUCUUAAAAACUGAAUGCACAUCUAUUUUUUUUUUAAUUUUGUAAAAGGCUUUCUAAGGCUAUAAGCAGUUAAUCUGAACGAAACAAAACAAAACAAAUCACAUAUAAAAUUCACCCAUGUACUUAACCCACCCAAUCACUAGGUUAAUUAAACAUUUUCCAUUUUCAUAUUUUGGUUUAUCAUGCAUCUGAUGACAGUGCUGCUUUCUUCUUUGUUUAGAGUCACUAUUUUAAAUGUGACUGUGAUGAAGCAUUUAAGCAAAUGUGAAACCAUUUUUGCAAAGCAUUUAUAGUCUUUUGACUUUUGACAGAGCUAUAAAUAGAAGCAAAAUAAUUUCCUCAAACAUUUUUUUUUGUUAUCGUGUCUCAGAAAUGGCAUAUCCCUUUUGAAUAACAUGUUAUACAGUAUAGUAUGCAUAAAUAUUACACUACAAUGCAUUAAAAUAAUUUUAUAUAUAUAUCUAUCAUAUAUAUCUCCAGUAUGUGUGAGUUUAUCCGUAUUAAGAGAGUCGGUGUUGUGCUAUUGUUACUGUAAAGUUAAACUGGCCAUUUCUGAGACAGCUUUGGUUUCAAAAAAAAAAGAAUGGUACUUAAAGCCAUGAUGUGCUCUAAAAGAUACACAGUUGUGGUUUUGCUUGGCACAUUCAUCUCUGUCAGAUCCCUCCCUCACCACAUCUUAAAAUCUAUUACAUUAAAAAUAUUACUCUUAAACAAAAAUGACUGUGCAUGCACGCUCUCAUCUAUAAUGGCAAUUUUAAAUACAAGGUGCACCUUUGUUAUUUGUAAACCUUGAAAGAAAUAAACUUAUUUUUAAAAAAUUAUAUCUUGGUCUACAGACGUACCAAUACAUAAUAGAAUCGUGGUUACACCAUAGUCUGUCUUUUCAAGAUGGCAUGAAUAUAUAGGAAACUAAUUAGGUAUGCAUAUUUUAAUGCAUAACUCUGUGCUAGAAAAGAAAGACAAUGUUGUUCUUGUAGACAGGAAUAUCACCUCAGCACAAAUAUCAAUUAAAUGUACAAAGUGUAUAGGCAACAGUGUGCAGUGGGUUUCCAUGUUGUCUUGUCUUCUGGUUAACAUGCAAUAUGUGGAUGUCUCGUGGCUGAGGGGCUCGUGUGUGUGUUGCUUGACGGUAUAUACAAUAUGGCUAAUGACCUCGUCCUUUACUCUAACCAAGCACACUGUCCUUUCCUCUUUAGUAUGAUCUACAAGGGAAAAAGAGACAAUCUUUGUUAAAACGGACAAUAUCUAAAAACAGUUUCUAAUAUAUAUUUAGUAUGAAAAUUGUAUUUCUUGAUUUAAAAUGUGAACACAUGUAGCUAUCACAUCUUCAUAUAAGAUCCAACACUUCACAAGUACAAAUGGAUCUAAGUUUGUUAUCAUCUCUAUGAGAAUAAAAUGACAUGCACAGCUUAACACAAUUGUAGACUCUGCUUUAAUAUCACCCAACACUAAGAGGACAGUAUAAAAUCCACGUGCAGAGUCAAGGGGCACAACAGAGCAGACAGCGCUCUUCUUCAGCACUCUCGUCGUGGGCCAGAAUUUAACUCUUUCUUCUCUUCUAAAGUUCAAUGGGUUUCCAGAGCAAUGAUCUGGCCUACAAAAUUAAAAUCCACGCAACCAUAAGUCCUAUUAAACACGAUUCACUGUAUUUGGGUGCUCGAUUAGGAUGGUAUGAAUUUGGAAAAAAAACCAAAAACAGAAUGACACUUUAAGUGACUGUUUGGAAUAAUUUAAAGGGUUUUUUUCCCCUAAAGCCAAGAAAAAUAAAGACUGUUUCUUAUGCUCCUGAGGAAUUAAGGUUGAACAGACAUUACAAUGUACUUCUAAAUUAAUAGUUCUAGUUUUUACAUAGAGUUUGUUCUCAUCAGAGAAUCGUUACAUAUUAAAAGAAUGCUUUAGAAUAAAUACAAUCUUGAGAUUGAAAGAAAUCACCGUUUUGCUGCAUCAAAAACCUGUUUAAAUAUUGCAACUCCUCCUGAAAAUGAGCAAGCAUUUGUUAAGUAAACAGAACAUGAAGAACCUAAGCUUGAAGGCAGACAAAUCCACUGGUUUGCUAAUUGAUGGACUUAGGGCCAUUUGGUCUCAUUUGUUUCAACCUGGAUUGCUACUAAGAAAUAGAACACAGUUACAGAUAUACAUACCAAAUACACCCAAUUGACUAUAAAAGCCUGAAACAGAUUUUUUAAACAUGUCAAAGGGGUACCCUUCUUCUAAAUCUACAUGCUACGGAGCAAUGUGCUUAUUCAAAACUGUGGCUCCUGUUCAGAGUAUUGAACCUCACCACCAGGACUGCACUGAGGGCACUUAGAAAACAGACAAAAAUCCGCAUCAAGAAUUUAAUUUCUCACUGCAGUGUGUGCCUGGUAGCACUCUCAGAUCGAGUCUGUCAUUUCUUUCUCACAUGGCUCUCAAACUUUGCGUGUCUCUUCUCCUGCAG
Molecule: long non-coding RNA, 4503 nt
Filed under: Equus asinus (donkey)
Lineage: Eukaryota; Metazoa; Chordata; Mammalia; Perissodactyla; Equidae
Description: lncRNA (ENSEASG00005032444.1)
Source: RNAcentral